CUUUGGGGUGUGACUGCGUACCUUUUGUAUAAUGGGUCAGCGACUUAUAUUCUGUAGCAAGGUUAACCGAAUAGGGGAGCCGGAGGGAAACCGAGUCUUAAUUGGGCGUUAAGUUGCAGGGUAUAGACCCGAAACCCGGUGAUCUAGCCAUGGGCAGGUUGAAGGUUGGGUAACACUAACUGGAGGACCGAACCGACUAAUGUUGAAAAAUUAGCGGAUGACCUGUGGCUGGGGGUGAAAGGCCAAUCAAACCGGGAGAUAGCUGGUUCUCCCCGAAAGCUAUUUAGGUAGCGCCUCGUGAAUUCAUCUCCGGGGGUAGAGCACUGUUUCGGCUAGGGGGCCAUCCCGGCUUACCAACCCGAUGCAAACUGCGAAUACCGGAGAAUGUUAUCACGGGAGACACACGGCGGGUGCUAACGUCCGUCGUGAAGAGGGAAACAACCCAGACCGCCAGCUAAGGUCCCAAAGUCAUGGUUAAGUGGGAAACGAUGUGGGAAGGCCCAGACAGCCAGGAUGUUGGCUUAGAAGCAGCCAUCAUUUAAAGAAAGCGUAAUAGCUCACUGGUCGAGUCGGCCUGCGCGGAAGAUGUAACGGGGCUAAACCAUGCACCGAAGCUGCGGCAGCGAACGUAUCACUUAAAGCGAUUCAGCGGGUUACGAUUGACGGAGCGAAGCGACGUCAAAGCGUAUACAAAGUCGAGUCGGUUUAAGGAUACGUUCGUUGGGUAGGGGAGCGUUCUGUAAGCCUGCGAAGGUGGCCUGUGAGGGUUGCUGGAGGUAUCAGAAGUGCGAAUGCUGACAUAAGUAACGAUAAAGCGGGUGAAAAGCCCGCUCGCCGGAAGACCAAGGGUUCCUGUCCAACGUUAAUCGGGGCAGGGUGAGUCGACCCCUAAGGCGAGGCCGAAAGGCGUAGUCGAUGGGAAACGGGUUAAUAUUCCCGUACUUGGUGUUACUGCGAAGGGGGGACGGAGAAGGCUAUGUUGGCCGGGCGACGGUUGUCCCGGUUUAAGCGUGUAGGUGUGUGUUCCAGGUAAAUCCGGUUCACUUUAACACUGAGGCGUGAUGACGAGGCACUACGGUGCUGAAGCAACAAAUGCCCUGCUUCCAGGAAAAGCCUCUAAGCAUCAGGUAACAUCAAAUCGUACCCCAAACCGACACAGGUGGUCAGGUAGAGAAUACCAAGGCGCUUGAGAGAACUCGGGUGAAGGAACUAGGCAAAAUGGUGCCGUAACUUCGGGAGAAGGCACGCUGACACGUAGGUGAAGUGAUUUACUCAUGGAGCUGAAGUCAGUCGAAGAUACCAGCUGGCUGCAACUGUUUAUUAAAAACACAGCACUGUGCAAACACGAAAGUGGACGUAUACGGUGUGACGCCUGCCCGGUGCCGGAAGGUUAAUUGAUGGGGUCAGCGCAAGCGAAGCUCCUGAUCGAAGCCCCGGUAAACGGCGGCCGUAACUAUAACGGUCCUAAGGUAGCGAAAUUCCUUGUCGGGUAAGUUCCGACCUGCACGAAUGGCGUAAUGAUGGCCAGGCUGUCUCCACCCGAGACUCAGUGAAAUUGAACUCGCUGUGAAGAUGCAGUGUACCCGCGGCAAGACGGAAAGACCCCGUGAACCUUUACUAUAGCUUGACACUGAACAUUGAGCCUUGAUGUGUAGGAUAGGUGGGAGGCUUUGAAGUGUGGACGCCAGUCUGCAUGGAGCCGACCUUGAAAUACCACCCUUUAAUGUUUGAUGUUCUAACGUGGACCCGUAAUCCGGGUUGCGGACAGUGUCUGGUGGGUAGUUUGACUGGGGCGGUCUCCUCCUAAAGAGUAACGGAGGAGCACGAAGGUUGGCUAAUCCUGGUCGGACAUCAGGAGGUUAGUGCAAUGGCAUAAGCCAGCUUGACUGCGAGCGUGACGGCGCGAGCAGGUGCGAAAGCAGGUCAUAGUGAUCCGGUGGUUCUGAAUGGAAGGGCCAUCGCUCAACGGAUAAAAGGUACUCCGGGGAUAACAGGCUGAUACCGCCCAAGAGUUCAUAUCGACGGCGGUGUUUGGCACCUCGAUGUCGGCUCAUCACAUCCUGGGGCUGAAGUAGGUCCCAAGGGUAUGGCUGUUCGCCAUUUAAAGUGGUACGCGAGCUGGGUUUAGAACGUCGUGAGACAGUUCGGUCCCUAUCUGCCGUGGGCGCUGGAGAACUGAGGGGGGCUGCUCCUAGUACGAGAGGACCGGAGUGGACGCAUCACUGGUGUUCGGGUUGUCAUGCCAAUGGCACUGCCCGGUAGCUAAAUGCGGAAGAGAUAAGUGCUGAAAGCAUCUAAGCACGAAACUUGCCCCGA
Molecule: ribosomal RNA, 2316 nt
Filed under: Salmonella enterica subsp. enterica serovar Agona
Lineage: Bacteria; Pseudomonadati; Pseudomonadota; Gammaproteobacteria; Enterobacterales; Enterobacteriaceae
Description: partial 23S ribosomal RNA
Rfam family: Bacterial large subunit ribosomal RNA
Source: RNAcentral